This 1236-nucleotide ribosomal RNA is filed under the name metagenome. RNAcentral describes it as "bacterial LSU rRNA". It matches the Rfam family "Bacterial large subunit ribosomal RNA", at positions 1570 to 2815 of the family's 2925-position model. The record is from RNAcentral.
CGAGAUGCUACGGCGUCGAAGCAGUCUAUGUCAGACUUCCAAGAAAAGCUCGCUAUGUCAUAAGUAAAAAAUGCCUGUACCAUAACCGACACAGGUGGGUAGGUAGAGUAUACUAAGGGGCGCGAGAUAACUCUCUCUAAGGAACUCGGCAAAAUAACUCCGUAACUUCGGGAGAAGGAGUGCCUUCUUUAAGAAGGUUGCAAUAACAAGAUCCAAGCAACUGUUUAUCAAAAACACAGGUCUCCGCUAAGUUGCAAGACGAUGUAUGGGGGCUGACGCCUGCCCAGUGCCAGAAGGUUAAAGAAAUUGGUUAGCUUUGGCGAAGCUGAUGACUGAAGCCCUGGUGAACGGCGGCCGUAACGAUAACGGUCCUAAGGUAGCGAAAUUCCUUGUCGGGUAAGUUCCGACCCGCACGAAAGGCGUAAUGAUUUGGAUACUGUCUCGGAGAGGGACUCGGUGAAAUAGACUUGUCUGUGAAGAUGCGGACUACCUGCACCAGGACAGAAAGACCCUAUGAAGCUUUACUGUAACUUGAAAUUGAAAUUGGACUUUAUUUGCGCAGCAUAGGUGGAAGGCGUAGAAGGUAUUCUUCGGGACUACUGGAGCCAUCAGUGAGAUACCACUCCUAUAAUGUUAGAUUUCUAACUUUGAAUCAUGAUCUGGUCAAAGAACAGUUUCAGGCGGGCAGUUUGACUGGGGCGGUCGCCUCCCAAAUUGUAACGGAGGCGUACAAAGGUUUCCUCUGAACGGGUAGAAAUCGUAUCUAGAGUGUAAAGGCAUAAGGAAGCUUGACUGUGAGACCUACAAGUCGAGCAGGGACGAAAGUCGGUCUUAGUGAUCUGACGGUGCUGAGUGGAAAGGCCGUCACUCAACGGAUAAAAGUUACUCUAAGGAUAACAGGCUGAUCUCCCCCAAGAGUUCACAUCGACGGGGAGGUUUGGCACCUCGAUGUCGGCUCAUCGCAUCCUGGGGCGGUAGUACGUCCCAAGGGUUGGGCUGUUCGCCCAUGAAAGCGGUACGCGAGCUGGGUUCAGAACGUCGUGAGACAGUUCGGUCCAUAUCCGGUGUAGGCGUUAGAAUAUUGAGAGGAGCCUUCUUUAGUACGAGAGGACCGAGAAGGACAUACCUCUGGUGUACCAGUUAUCGUGCCAACGGUAAACGCUGGGUAGCUAUGUAUGGAGAGGAUAACCGCUGAAAGCAUCUAAGUGGGAAGCCCACCUCAAGAUGAGUAUUCCC